GAUAAACGCUGGCGGCGUGCUUAACACAUGCAAGUCGAACGAUGAAGCCCAGCUUGCUGGGUGGAUUAGUGGCGAACGGGUGAGUAACACGUGAGUAACCUGCCCUUAACUCUGGGAUAAGCCUGGGAAACUGGGUCUAAUACCGGAUAGGAGCGUCCACCGCAUGGUGGGUGUUGGAAAGAUUUAUCGGUUUUGGAUGGACUCGCGGCCUAUCAGCUUGUUGGUGAGGUAAUGGCUCACCAAGGCGACGACGGGUAGCCGGCCUGAGAGGGUGACCGGCCACACUGGGACUGAGACACGGCCCAGACUCCUACGGGAGGCAGCAGUGGGGAAUAUUGCACAAUGGGCGCAAGCCUGAUGCAGCGACGCCGCGUGAGGGAUGACGGCCUUCGGGUUGUAAACCUCUUUCAGUAGGGAAGAAGCGAAAGUGACGGUACCUGCAGAAGAAGCACCGGCUAACUACGUG
RNAcentral lists this ribosomal RNA (466 nucleotides) under uncultured bacterium. Its description in RNAcentral is "partial 16S ribosomal RNA". It matches the Rfam family "Bacterial small subunit ribosomal RNA", at positions 28 to 507 of the family's 1533-position model. The record is from RNAcentral.